Molecule: ribosomal RNA, 800 nt
Filed under: uncultured Pseudaminobacter sp.
Lineage: Bacteria; Pseudomonadati; Pseudomonadota; Alphaproteobacteria; Hyphomicrobiales; Phyllobacteriaceae
Description: bacterial SSU rRNA
Rfam family: Bacterial small subunit ribosomal RNA
Source: RNAcentral
AUGCAUCUAGAUUGCGGAUCCGCGGCCGCAGAGUUUGAUCCUGGCUCAGAACGAACGCUGGCGGCAGGCUUAACACAUGCAAGUCGAGCGCCCCGCAAGGGGAGCGGCAGACGGGUGAGUAACGCGUGGGAAUCUACCCAUCCCUACGGAAUAACCCAGGGAAACUUGGACUAAUACCGUAUACGACCGAGAGGUGAAAGAUUUAUCGGGGAUGGAUGAGCCCGCGUUGGAUUAGCUAGUUGGUGGGGUAAAGGCCUACCAAGGCGACGAUCCAUAGCUGGUCUGAGAGGAUGACCAGCCACACUGGGACUGAGACACGGCCCAGACUCCUACGGGAGGCAGCAGUGGGGAAUAUUGGACAAUGGGCGCAAGCCUGAUCCAGCCAUGCCGCGUGAGUGAUGAAGGCCCUAGGGUUGUAAAGCUCUUUCAACGGUGAAGAUAAUGACGGUAACCGUAGAAGAAGCCCCGGCUAACUUCGUGCCAGCAGCCGCGGUAAUACGAAGGGGGCUAGCGUUGUUCGGAAUUACUGGGCGUAAAGCGCACGUAGGCGGAUUGGUCAGUUAGGGGUGAAAUCCCAGGGCUCAACCCUGGAACUGCCUUUAAUACUGCCAGUCUUGAGUUCGAGAGAGGUGAGUGGAAUUCCGAGUGUAGAGGUGAAAUUCGUAGAUAUUCGGAGGAACACCAGUGGCGAAGCGGCUCACUGGCUCGAUACUGACGCUGAGUGCGAAAGCGUGGGGAGCAAACUGGAUUAGAUACCCUGGUAGUCCACGCCGUAAACGAUGGAUGCUAGCCGUCGGCAA